Long non-coding RNA from Taeniopygia guttata (zebra finch), 3151 nucleotides. The record is from Ensembl. NCBI's taxonomy places the organism in Eukaryota, Metazoa, Chordata, Aves, Passeriformes, Estrildidae.
AGCUAAACAAUCUGUUCCAUGUCUCACUGAAAUCACUGGUUUUGCAUGUGGAAGGAUGUGCUGGUGGUACAAAAUGAGAGAAUGCUCUGGCAUCAAUCCAUUUCAUCCAUUCUUGAAUGAUUUCCUUCUCAAAGGGCUUCUAAUGCAGCUGUUCUUUCAAAGGAAUAGUCAAACCCUGUUGUGUUGCAGAGGUCAGGCUGAAGAGGAUUUUUUUUUCACUUUAGCUCCUAUGCAUUACAGCACAAAUAAGUCCUGAUUUAUUUGGGCAUUGCAGCUCUCUUACACCUUCUUUCUAAAUGUGCACCCUGUGAAAGUGUUGCUGUUUGGCAGAUUUCACUUCACAUGAGCUGUCAUUGAUAUCUUUAUCCUUUCAAUCUUGUCACAUUCAGUUAAUUGAAUACAGAUAUAAAUUUAAACAAAGACCAAAGAGAUUAAUAACUUCUGAGCUUGUUUGAAGGGUGUCAUAGAAAUUGAGUCAAGAAUCAAAUAGAGAAAGCCAAGAAUGGUGAAGCAACUGGAACAUCUGUGUAUUCAGUAGGCCUUUCAAGCAUAGAUGCAGGCAAAGGCCUCAAACUCCAACUACAUAAGUAUUUCAUAAUAACAUAAUUUGAAGAAAUUGCAGCAAGUGAAAAGUCAGGUUAUCAAUUUGAAUGGUUUUGUAAAUAGUAUCUUUACUAAAGAUACAUCACACUAAACCAGUCCAAAUACCCCCAAAUACUGCAAUAUUAGCAUUCCAAACAUUGAUUUAAUACUGUAAUUUUCUUGCACUGCUAGCAGAAAUACUUCCCUAAAUAUCAUCUAACAGCCCAAACCGAAUAACUGUGAGUUCCUUUUAACUGUGUGAGACAUACAAUGCUUUGGUUUUUCUCUGGCAGGCUAAAUGUUAGACAGACAUAAAAAAGUCUCACUGUGUAAGACUUGUCUCAAGUUAUUUGGUUUAAUAUGAACAUUUUUCAUGUAUCAUAAACCUGUCAUAAUAUUUUGAAAAUUUUGCAAUUUUUGGGUUGGGUUUGGGUUUUUUUUAGUAAAUGGCAUUUUUAUUUAGAGGCAAUAUAAAAAUAACUAUGGUUUGAAAUUGUUUUGAUUCAACAUUUGCCUGUGUGUAACUCAAAAAUGGUCUGUUCUUUUAUGAAGCUUUCCAUACACAUUUUUGGUUUUGCAGACAAUUUUGUCAGUUGAGGAGAAGGUUUUAGUUGAGUUGAACUAUGAAUCUAUUCUGUUUGUGUGUAUCUUGUCCUUGCAUCUUGCUGUUACAGACUUCAAAGGUGGAUGGAUUUCCUUUCUGGAUGUUUCUGCAUCAGGUGCUGCACAAGAACCCUGCAUUUUCCAGGUUGCUGGUUAUAGGUGUUUGUACUCUGUGUGGCACAAACUGCUGUUCUAUGGCAACUAAAGGAUGUUGAGAGUGUUUUUCAUGCUCCAAUGGGAACUGCAGAGCUGAUCAUUAUUUCACAGCCUGCUGAAUAUUAUUUUCACAGGGUGUUUAUUUGAGUGUGCGCUUGUGCUUAUCUAAAACCACUUGCUAUCACUGAUGAAGGAAUAGAAUUUGAGUGAGAUGUGACAGUAAGGACUGAGCCUCUGGAAAAUUUGCAGCACCAUAUUUGGUCUGACAAUGUACUGCAUUCCCAUCCAUCAGACUACAAUGAUUGGAAUUCCACCACAGUUCCACAGUGAGUGGAAUUCCACUUCUCUUUUUUAAGCUACUCUGCAAAUGAAAUUAAACCCUGUGCACUACAUGGAGGUGUUCAGGACUAGCAAGGUUACAAUCCAGGACAGCAGUGACUGGUAAUUCCAGUUUAGUUUGGAAUACAUAGAAUGCUCAAACUGCAAUUGCACAGCCUGCUGGCCUCCUCCCACGCCUCCAUGCAUUUUCUUUACUCACCACUGUUUGGAUUCUGUAGUGACGAGCUCUUACUACACUUGGAUUUGGCAAUCUUUUCAGAACAGAUUUUAAGGCAAAAUUGGGCACGAAGCCCCAUGGUAGCUAACUGGCCUGAAUUCUAGCAGUGCUGAGUGCAUGCAGCUUCUGCUCUGGUAAAGAGAGUUGCAUGUACUUAUGUCAGCAAUGCAUUUUUGCAGUAUCUCAGCAAAUGUCAGUCAUAGCUGAGCUUUCAUGCUUCUGCUGCACAUAAUGCCCUGACACCAAAACAUAGACGAAGGGAUGGAAAAAGCCAGUUAUCCUGUGUAUGUAUUUAAUAAGCUGUCUAGUCUAGUAGUUAAUAUGAAGCUAACGAGAUGUGAUUGUAUGUUCUGAAGCAAGGCUGUUUGUCCAUACAUUUGCAUCCUUGGUUUAAUCACAUUGUAUGUGGUUUCAGAGGCAAGUCCAAGGAAUGUGGAAGCAAUGUUGACCGUUGUAUGCAAUGUAUACCAUGACUUCAGCUAUUGCUUUACAGUCCAUCACACUUGGUCAGAGUUGCAGAAGUAACGUGCUUCUUCAGUAGAUCAAAGUGGAGGCACUGACAGAAGGUGGAAUUUCAUCCUGUGAAUGCUUGAGCUGCUGUUUUAAAAACACAAUACCACAAUAGGCACUCGGUGAUGCAGCACAAGGAUUCAGGGAACUGAAGGGGAGUUGUGGGCAGUGAUCUCCCAAUGACAUUGUCUAAGCUUAGUCUAUCUUAAAUUCUUUUUACCAUUCAGAUAACAAUAGAAGAAACAAAAGAAGUUGUGAGCUGUAGUAAUACUGGACUGAUCCAAUCAUCCCCCUUAUUUUCUUACAGGAGGGGAACAAGACAGCACCGCAUGUCCAGCCAGAGAAGGUGCUUGCUAAGGUUGCUGUUGCCAGAACACUUGGGACAGUUUGUGAGGGAGCCAUACAAGGCAAUUCAAGAGCACAUCACCACUGUGAUCACAGGGACUUGACCACAGGCCUUACUCUUCAGCCAAAGAAUGGAAUCAGCCUGGGCCCACAAAGGCAAGAGCAAGGCUAUGAUCUGGCCAGUUUAUAUUUAAAAGAAUUGUGAGAGAAAACAAAGGACAUUGGCAAAGGAAUGGGGAGUCACUGGACUCCAUUUUAGUUGACUGUCAUUUCACUUUGCAACUAUCAAUGAUUUAUGCAGAGAAGAACAGUAACAGCCUAGCAAUGCUCACCUCUUAAUCACACUGUGUAGACAGAAAAUAGGGAGUAAAUUAACCUGUUGGAAGCAAAAACUUAAUG